GAUGAACGCUGGCGGCGUGCCUAAUACAUGCAAGUCGAGCGAACGGACGAGAAGUUUUCUUCCCUGAUGUUAUCGGCGGACGGGUGAGUCACACGUGGAUAACCUACCUAUAAGACUGGGAUAACUUCGCGAAACCGUAUCUACUACCGGAUGAUAUUUUGAACCGCAUUGUUCAAAAGUGAAAGACGGUCUUGCUUUCACUUAUAGAUUGAUCCGCCCUGCAUUAGAUAGUAGGUAAGGUAACGGCUUACCCAGGCAACGAGGCAUACACGACCUGAGAGGGUGAUCGGCCAGCCUGGAACUGAGACACGGUCCAGACUCCGGCGGGGGGCCGCAGUAGGGAAUCUUACGCGAUGGGCGAAAGCCUGACGGAGCAACGCCGCGUGAGUGAUGAAGGACUUCGGAUCGUAAAACGCUGUUAUUAGGGAAGAACAUAUGUGUAAGUAACUGUGCAGAUCAUGACGGUACCUAAUCAGAAAGCCACGGCUAACUACGUG
This 497-nucleotide ribosomal RNA is filed under the name uncultured bacterium. Its description in RNAcentral is "partial 16S ribosomal RNA". It matches the Rfam family "Bacterial small subunit ribosomal RNA", at positions 28 to 507 of the family's 1533-position model. The record is from RNAcentral.